CAAGUCGAGCGGCAGCAGCUCCUUCGGGGGGCUGGCGAGCGGCGGACGGGUGAGUAAUGCAUGGGAACUUACCCAGUAGUGGGGGAUAGCCCGGGGAAACCCGGAUUAAUACCGCAUACGCCCUGAGGGGGAAAGCGGGCUCCGGCUCGCGCUAUUGGAUGGGCCCAUGUCGGAUUAGUUUGUUGGUGAGGUAAUGGCUUACCAAGGCGACGAUCCGUAGCUGGUCUGAGAGGAUGAUCAGCCACACCGGGACUGAGACACGGCCCGGACUCCUACGGGAGGCAGCAGUGGGGAAUAUUGGACAAUGGGGGCAACCCUGAUCCAGCCAUGCCGCGUGUGUGAAGAAGGCCCUAGGGUUGUAAAGCACUUUCAGCAGGGAGGAAAAGCUGUCGGUUAAUACCCGCCAGUGUUGACGUUACCUGCAGAAGAAGCACCGGCUAACUCCGUGCCAGCAGCCGCGGUAAUACGGAGGGUGCAAGCGUUAAUCGGAAUUACUGGGCGUAAAGGGCGCGUAGGCGGUUUGAUAAGCGGGUUGUGAAAGCCCCGGGCUCAACCUGGGAAUUGCAAUCCGAACUAUCAGGCUAGAGUGCAGCAGAG
This 597-nucleotide ribosomal RNA is filed under the name uncultured bacterium. Its description in RNAcentral is "bacterial SSU rRNA". It matches the Rfam family "Bacterial small subunit ribosomal RNA", at positions 58 to 656 of the family's 1533-position model. The record is from RNAcentral.